RNAcentral lists this unclassified non-coding RNA (237 nucleotides) under Ascomycota sp. RNAcentral's name for it is "partial contains small subunit ribosomal RNA, internal transcribed spacer 1, and 5.8S ribosomal RNA". The stretch from base 1 to 47 matches the Rfam family "Eukaryotic small subunit ribosomal RNA", at positions 1785 to 1831 of the family's 1831-position model. Lineage: Eukaryota; Fungi; Ascomycota. The record is from RNAcentral.
AAAGUCGUAACAAGGUUUCCGUAGGUGAACCUGCGGAAGGAUCAUUACAGUGUUCGCUGCCCUCGCGGGUAGCAAACCUCACCCUUGUGUAUCAUAUCUUUGUUGCUUUGGCACGCCGUCUGCGGGCACCGGCUCCGGCUGGCUUGCGCGUGUCAGAGGACCCUAAACCCUAAACGUGUGUGUCGUCUGAGGACCAUCUAAUAGUUAAAACUUUCAACAACGGAUCUCUUGGUUCUG